UAGGCCGGUACUCGCGAUGCUCNAGAUUUUAUAAGUUUGAUCAUGGCUCAGAUUAGCAACGCUGGUCGGCAGGCCUAACACAUGCAAGUCGAGCGGCCAAGGCCCCNAAACCCACGAAACAACAGGGCGCGCUUUAAAACGAAACNGGGCNUUUUAUUAANUUAAAAGCCCCCGUGUUUAUUAGAUUUUAAAAAUUUUUAUGGGCCACNAANAGGNCAGGGGGNNGCUUUUUAUAGGGCGCGGGGGAAACCCCCCCGGGGCCAAAAAAACGGGNGCCCCCCCCCUGGGGGGGGAGCGGNGCGCCACGACACACCCCCAUCUGCGGGNGUGCGGCCCCCGGGCGCGGCGCACAAAAAAAAUCCCCCCCCAGGGGNGGNNGCNCCCCCCGCGGGGGGGCGGGGGCCGCGCCACCAAAAACAAACACGCCCCUCUUUUUUUUUUGNGGGGGCGCCACAACAACAAACACACCCGGGCGGGCGCAGGUCCCUCCUCCCCUNUUUUUUUUUUUUUUACAAACACCCGACACAACCAACACACCCCCCUGUUUUUUUUUUUUGGGGGGGGGGGGCGCUCACNACCCCCCCCGAGGCCCCCCCCCCCUCCC
Molecule: ribosomal RNA, 604 nt
Filed under: uncultured bacterium
Lineage: Bacteria
Description: partial 16S ribosomal RNA
Source: RNAcentral